RNAcentral lists this ribosomal RNA (492 nucleotides) under uncultured bacterium. Its description in RNAcentral is "partial 16S ribosomal RNA". It matches the Rfam family "Bacterial small subunit ribosomal RNA", at positions 29 to 507 of the family's 1533-position model. The record is from RNAcentral.
AGUGAACGCUGGCGGUAGGCCUAACACAUGCAAGUCGAACCGCAGCACAGUAAGAGCUUGCUCUUACGGGUGGCGAGUGGCGGACGGGUGAGGAAUACAUCGGAAUCUACUUUUUCGUGGGGGAUAACGUAGGGAAACUUACGCUAAUACCGCAUACGACCUACGGGUGAAAGCAGGGGAUCUUCGGACCUUGCGCGAUUGAAUGAGCCGAUGUCGGAUUAGCUAGUUGGCGGGGUAAAGGCCCACCAAGGCGACGAUCCGUAGCUGGUCUGAGAGGAUGAUCAGCCACACUGGAACUGAGACACGGUCCAGACUCCUACGGGAGGCAGCAGUGGGGAAUAUUGGACAAUGGGCGCAAGCCUGAUCCAGCCAUACCGCGUGGGUGAAGAAGGCCUUCGGGUUGCAAAGCCCUUUUGUUGGGAAAGAAAAGCAGCAGGUUAAUACCCCGCUGUUCUGACGGUACCCAAAGAAUAAGCACCGGCUAACUUCGUG